AGGGAGCAUGCGCAUAUCAAGGCCGGGCUGCCAUUUUGAUGGCAGUGAUCAACACCGCAUAGUUUCUAUUUCAUGAGUACAUAUUCGAGCUGGCUUUAACCCAGCACGACACCUACUAAGGUAUCGUGUUUAUUAAAGAUAAGUAUAUAACUCGGGCAUCAUAAAUAAUCCGAACAACAAUAAAACAGAUGGACGGAGAGGACGACGACGUUGUAUCCGCCAGCCGCUCCGAUGAUGGCGGUGGUACACCUGUACAAGACGAACACCCAGCAUCAGAAGACGAGCAGGCGAUGCCCACAAAACAUAAUUCAGAGGACGACGGCAGUGAGGGUGAGGACGGCCCCCGUCCCAUGGAGACCAGCGGCCCGGCCAGUGGCUCCGACAACGAGGGCCCGGCAGGGGGCCACAGCGACUCGGAGGGAGAGGCCCCUGGGCGUAACCGUGGAAACAACAGUGACUCUGAGGGAGAAGCCCCUCGGCGUAACUCUGGCAACAACAGCGACUCAGACGUAGAGGCCCCCGGGCGUAACCGUGGAAACAACAGUGACUCGGACGUAGAGGCCCCCGGGCGUAACCGUGGAAACAACAGUGACUCAGACGUAGAGGCCCCCGGGCGUAACCGUGGAAACAACAGUGACUCCGAGGUAGAGGCCCCUGGGCGUAACCGUGGAAACAACAGUGACUCCGACGUAGAGGCCCCCGGGCGUAACCGUGGAAACAACAGUGACUCCGAGGUAGAGGCCCCUGGGCGUAACCGUGGAAACAACAGUGACUCAGACGUAGAGGCCCCUGGGCGUAACCGUGGGAACAACAGUGACUCCGAGGUAGAGGCCCCUGGGCGUAACCGUGGAAACAACAGUGACUCCGAGGUAGAGGCCCCUGGGCGUAACCGUGGAAAAAACGGUGACUCCGAGGUAGAGCGGCCCAGGCCCGCGGACAGCGAUGAGGAAGACUCCGCUUUGAAGAGCCGAGGAAGUGAGGAGGACAGGAGGACCCCUCCCCGUGCCAAACACAGCCCCUCCUCUUCCCCGAGCUCCACCCCUAACGCAGGUGGAAAACCAGACGGCAGCACGCCUGCGAGGAAGAAGAUUGCCGCCCUGCACUCGGAUGACGAUGAAGAGGAGGAGGCGGGGGCUGUCGGGACGCAGGGAGCAGAGGCCGACGGGGCGAAGUGGAAGGCAGUGAUGAUGUCGGACAGCGAGGAUGAGGCGGGGGAGGAACGGAAGGCUGACAACGAAGAGGAGAAGGCGAAACGGCCAGAAGAUAGCCAUGAUGAAGACGCUGGACCAGUGAAGAGGAAGAAGGCCGUCCUCUCAGACAGCGAGGAUGACGAUACCCCUACGCCAGUGAAGCGCAGCAGAGCCGUGUCCGACGAGGAGAACUCGGACUCCGAGGGUCCGGACCGCAAAAUGGCAGCCAAGCUGAGGGAGCUGGGGUCCGACAGCGAGGACGAGGACGGUCCUGCCAAGACCAAGGACGAGAAGACGCUGUUCGGCAGUGACAGCGAGUCGGGAGAGGACCAGGAGGAGAAGAUGAUUGCGGACAUCUUUGGAGAGUCGGGAGACGAGGAGGAAGAGGAGUUUACGGGUUUCAACCAGGAGGAACUGGAGGGGCAGCAGAAGGUAGAGAACCAGCCAGCUGAGGAAGACUCUGAUUCGGAUGAAGGAGUCGACCGUAGUGGCAAAGACACCAGCAUGAUGUCAGACUUCGACAUCAUGCUGGCGCGUAAGAAGGCAGCGGGCGGGAAGCGCAGGAGGAACCGAGACGGAGGAACGUUCAUCAGCGACGCCGACGACGUCGUCAGCGCCAUGAUCAUCAAGAUGAACGAGGCCGCAGAGGAGGACAGAACGCUCAACGCUCAAAAGAAGCCAGCGCUGAAGAAACUCACACUGCUGCCUGCGGUUGUCACGCAUCUCAAGAAGCAGGAUCUGAAGGAGACGUUCAUCGACAGCGGCGUGAUGACGGCCAUCAAGGAGUGGAUCGGCCCCUUGCCAGACAAGAGCCUCCCUGCCCUCCGCAUCCGAGGGGAGCUGCUCAAGAUCCUGCAUGAGCUUCCCAGCGUGAGCCAGGAAACUCUGAAACACAGCGGCAUCGGACGUGCGGUCAUGUUCCUCUACAAACACCCCAAGGAGUCGCGACCCAACAAAGACCUGGCUCUCAAACUCAUCAACGAGUGGUCCCGACCCAUCUUUGGUCUGACGUCCAACUACAAGGGGAUGACCCGAGAGGAGCGGCAACAGAGAGACCUGGACCAGCAGAUGCCCCAGAAGAGGGGACUAAGUUCUGGCGGUCAGACCCCCCGUCGGGACCUAGAGAAGCAACUCACUGGAGAGGAAAAGGCUCUGCGACCUGGGGAGCCAGGCUUCUGUGCCCGGGCCAGGGUACCCAUGCCCUCCAACAAGGACUACGUAGUCCGACCCAAGUGGAACAUAGAGAUGGAGUCCAGCAGGAGUGGAUUUAAGAAAGGCGUCAGUCGAUUGGAGAAGCACAAGCGUCGUUUUGCUGAGCAGAAGAAACGGGGGCGCCUGCAAGGAGCCAUCAAGAUCAGUGUGCAGGGGAACCACAUGCCCUUGUAGUACCUGCUGCUACCCAUUGGGGGCAGUAAGUACCAUCCUGUAGUACUUGCUGCUACACAUAGGGGCAGGACCCAUGAAGAAGGGAGUGUCUCGCGUGGACAAACAGACGCGGCGCUCACGGGACAUCCUGCGGCUCUCACCAAGACGGGCCACGCCGUCAAGAUCGGCGUAGAGGGGAGAAGCCUGCCGCUCUGACUUCACCCACCUCGCCCCUGCCUAUUUUAGUUUAUUUUUAAUAAUUUGCUCAGAAACCCCCCCCCCCCCCCCCCCCCCCACUGUGUGUGUGUGUGUGUGUGUGUGUGUGUGUGUGUGUGUGUGUGUGUGUGUGUGUGUGUGUGUGUGUGUGUGUGUGUGUGUGUGUGUGUGUGUGUGUGUGUGUGUGUGUGUGUGUGUGUGUGUGUGAGACACACUCAGUACCCAGGGAUGUUUAAUGUGACCGGCGUGUGAGUGUGCACCCUGUUCUACGGUAGAAGAAUCUUUUCAUAUUAAACAGAGUUCUGCUCAAAUCCUGUUCCCCGGGUCUGAUUUUUGCUGUGUAAACCACUCUGGUUCUAGGUUUGGGAGCUGAACCUACCCACCUCCUAAAAUAAUUGAAUAAUAUGUAAUUUCUUACCUAAACUUAAAAGAGACGCCGAGAUAAAUAUGAAUUGGUGUUUGCCAGUUCUACCCAUAUUCUGAU
Gadus chalcogrammus (walleye pollock) is the source of this 3255-nucleotide RNA transcript. It is a transcript of the gene named protein IWS1 homolog, with no coding region annotated. The record is from RefSeq and is a predicted model, not a curated record. The transcript is spliced from 16 exons. Lineage: Eukaryota; Metazoa; Chordata; Actinopteri; Gadiformes; Gadidae.